Anas platyrhynchos (mallard) is the source of this 1912-nucleotide non-coding RNA. NCBI's taxonomy places the organism in Eukaryota, Metazoa, Chordata, Aves, Anseriformes, Anatidae. The record is from RefSeq and is a predicted model, not a curated record.
GGAGAGAAGAAAGGUGGUUAAUAUUCAGGCACAGCUGAUUUCAGAGCCUCCCACCUUGGAAGCUUUACCCGCUGCCCCAUCAUUUUAAUUAGAACCAGUUUUGUGCCACCGACUGCAACUGGGGACAGCUGGGGAAGGCUGGAGGGGGUUUGCCUGCUGCUUCCAGCAGUGCCCUGCAGCAGAGAGGUGGGGAAGAAAAAGAGGGACAGCAAGAGAGAGAGAGAAACUUGUCUGCUACACCGGGCUCUUAACCUCCCAAAGAGGCUGCCAGGGUCUCUGAGCAGCACCAUGGUAGGAGCUGUUUUAUUGCCUGUGGGCAGUGGUUUGUUUGGAGAAGAGGAAGCCUGACUGUGCAGAGCAGGGGGCGCGCUGCGGCCUUCAGGCCUGGGGCUCGCUCCAUAAACAUUUUGCAUUGAAAUAUCCUCAGUCAGGCCCUAGCCGGGACUGAUGUGAGCUGGAGGUGUUGAAGAAGGAUGGAGAACACUGCACAUGGUGUGGAAGAGCAGCAUCGACUUCAGAGCUUGCUCUGGGACUUUGCAUUUGGGGUCGAGGCCUAUAGGGCCCAGCCUGUGGCUUGCUGCAGGGUCCUUUCUGGGCCACCAGCAUGCCAAUAUCAAACUGCUGAUAUGCUACACAUCAUGAUUUGGCCCAGGGGGUGCAAUGUCAGCAGAGCUCUUGCCUGUGGUUGUGCUUGGGACAGGCGAGCAGGAGGAUGGGAUGUAGGCUGGACGGGGUGCUGUGCGGCUGGGGUGACAGCCCAAAGGGCCACAACCCCCAGAAAAGGUCUGCUUGCAUCUGCUGGAAAAUAAGCCACGCUGGUUUUAAUGAAAGCAAGGAGGAUUUACUCAAACUGCCCCAAACUGCAGCUGAGGACUGGAAGGAAAGGGUUGCAAGCUCUUGCACUCCCCUCACAGACUGAUCUUGGCUGUGGUGCUGUAAGAAAUGGGGCUGUUGCUAACCAUAAAAUAAAGGCAAGGAUAUUUAUACCCACAUUUUUCCAGCCAUUAAGACACAGUUUUACAGUUUUCUUCUAACUGAAAAAAAGCAACUGGAAACGCCUUUCCUCUGCAUGCGCAAGGCACAUACUCAAAAUGCAGUUGUUCAGCAGAACAGCUUCGGUGUUCACAAAAUUGAGGCAAUCAGAAAAAUUUCCAAUCCUAAGUAUGGAGAAAAGAAUAAAAAUAGGCCUGAAAAUUUUGGCUCAGCUCCCCAGUCCGGCUCUGUUCACUUCCACCCAGAGAAGAGCACAUCCUGAUCUGAUGAAUUAAUGAUCCUCUUCACUCAAGACGCCAGGAAGAAGCUGACCUUGGUGCACUGGCGCAGUGCGAGUGUUGGGCUGCCACCUCCAUUCAAACCCACUGCAGGGUUUGCAGCUUCAUUCCGAGAUGGGAGAAAGUGGUACAAAAAAUCAUGCACAAUGUGCAUGAAGAGGGCACAACUAUUUUUCUUCAGGGAGUCAGUUUCCUAGAGAAGUCCAUGAGCAGCAGAACACAGGACACCAGCCCUACUUUCUCCAGCUGGGAUCACAAAUGCAAGGCUUCGAUGCAACUCAGAGCUCAAGACCCCUUUAGCUAUAUUGGAGGAUUCAGGACCCCAGAAGGGUCCUUUCUUUACACUAGCCCAUAAUAUGAGGUCCACACUGUGCUGAAGGUGACAAGCUCUUGAGCCACCAUAGAUGCUUCCAUGCAAAGGUGGGGACACACAAGCAAACAUGGAGAUUCCCUAUUUCUGCUGUAGGGUGGUGGGCAUGGGAGAUUCAUGAUGGAAAAAAAAAUGCUUUACGGAAAAUACAGUUAUUAAAAAAGUGUGUUAAUCAGCCACAUACUUGACCUAAAAUUUAAUCUGAACUGAGCACUCAGUCUAACCUGCCAUUACAAGAGCAGCUUGGAAAACUGCUACUGCAUUGCAUGAA